RNAcentral lists this long non-coding RNA (440 nucleotides) under Homo sapiens (human). Its description in RNAcentral is "non-protein coding lnc-EGR2-2:1". The record is from RNAcentral. Lineage: Eukaryota; Metazoa; Chordata; Mammalia; Primates; Hominidae.
CCAGCCCCUGGUUUUGUUUGUUUUUUGUUUUGAGACAGAGUUUCACUCUUGUUGCCCAGGCUGGAGUGCAAUGGCACGAUCUCGGCUCACUGCAACCUCUGCUUCCUGGGUUCAAGCAAUUCUCCUGCCUCAGCAUCCCGAUUAGCUGAGAUUAUAGGCACCCACCACCACGCUAGGCUGAUUUUGUAUUUUUAUAAUGUGUCAGUGUCCAAUGUCUGUCCACCUCUCCGCCUCCACCAGUCUGAUGUGGACCUUCAGUGUUUCAUGUUAGGCUUUAUAGGCAGUAUCUUAUAACAUUACUGAUUUCUUGCCAUUGUAAUAAAUUGUUACCAUAUUUUAUUAUCUUUAUUUAUUUAUUUAUUUAUUUAUUUAUUUAUUUAUUUAUUUAUUUUUGAGAUGGAAUUGCGCUCUGUCUCCCAGCUGGAGUACAGUGUAUUUUG